Molecule: long non-coding RNA, 339 nt
Filed under: Elaeis guineensis (African oil palm)
Lineage: Eukaryota; Viridiplantae; Streptophyta; Magnoliopsida; Arecales; Arecaceae
Description: long non-coding RNA (EGUI_LNC053115)
Source: RNAcentral
GGUGGGUGAUCUCUGAGAUUUUUCAUCCAAGCUAUGUGGCAUGGGUUUUUGGGGAGGGCUGAUCUAUAUGUGAUGUGAGAUCUAAGGAAGAAAAGAGAGGUCAUCUUCUUCUUCUUCUUUUUCCUCCUCUUCUCCUUGUUCUUUGAGAGAGUCUGAGAGAAAUGAUGGAGAUCAGCAAAAUCAACCAUCGGGAGGUAGCUUCUGCAAGGGUGCUAGCACCCCAAUAAAGCAACAGGCCUUUAAUUGAAUUGAAGACUUCGUGUAGAUAUCCAUAAAGAUCGGAUGCAUGUGUAACUCUAUGAGAAAUCUCAGAGUAUAACAUGAUCAUCAACUGUGGAG